Molecule: long non-coding RNA, 4349 nt
Filed under: Malus domestica (apple)
Lineage: Eukaryota; Viridiplantae; Streptophyta; Magnoliopsida; Rosales; Rosaceae
Description: long non-coding RNA (MDOM_LNC002654)
Source: RNAcentral
CGUGUCGAGUUAUCGGGUCGUGUCAGGAAUUGCCAGGCCUAUUCAACACAAUCCACAGGACACAUACACAAAUUUUUCUUAAUUACAAAUCACCUAAUCAAAUUAAUAACAUAAUUGAAAUAUUCCUGAAUUAUUAUUAAUUGCUCCUUGACGUGGAGAGAGCUUCCUUGCGUCGGCCAAUGUGUCAUUUGGUAGUGAAUUGCUUGAAGGCAUGGCACAUGACGGCAUCAUCAUCUUCUUAAACAAAGUUACUCAUAUUCUCUGGCGGUCGGGUACUAAUAAUUUUCGAAGAACCAUUUAGUUAAGCUUAUAUCCUAACAAUUAGUUGCAAUUAAAACAAAAGAAUAAUUGGAUUGAGUUGUGCAUGUGUUGCACCACACGUGACUGUAAGACACCUCAUUAGGACUCGUGCAUGCAUGUGCAGUCCACGCUCUUAAUUAGUUCCCAGUUUGUUUCAAGUUUACAAUAAAUUUGUUCAUAAUCACAUUCUUCUAAUCGUUUCUUUUACGCAUCAUCACUUAUUCAUUUGUAUUUUUUGGCAAUAAGGGAUGAAAAUUUUGCGCUAUAAGAAUUUGAGAUUGAACUCGUCAUCUAUGAGAUUCGAACUUAACCAUUUUUAUAAGUUAAGAAGAAUAUUAUUAGAUCGUAGCACUAAGUAACCAGUUACUUCAAAUUUAUUACUCGACGUUACUGUUUGAGUCUGGAAUUCACAUUUCAGCCAAAUCCUAAUGUUUGGGGUCUAAAAUUCAGAUUUUGGCAGAAUUAAUUUUUGGGCAAAGUUGAUUAAUGUCAGCCCAGAAAGGAGGUUAUGAGUCUCGGCCCAAUGGUGCAGUGCUAAUGGAGUAGCUGAGUUCUAUACAAAUUAGGAUGUCUAGGGAUCAUGAUUGAUUGGACGAGGGUUUGAACUCAUCAAGAUGGUUUUGGAUGGGAUAUGGAUCAUUGUUCUAAAAAUUCCCACAUUUCGCCUGGCCACCGCUCCAAUUAGUCCCUAUAUGUUUGAAAAUUAAGAAAGUGCGCCUAAACUCCGCUUAGGCGUCCACCUAACUUGCCUAGGUGCCCACCUAAACAUGCCUAGGUUGUGACUCUGAAAUAGAUAGAAAAUAUAAAACUUUCACUUGCAUUUUAAUUUUUCAACAAAAUGUAAGAGACUUAAUGAAUAAUUGGACGAACAAUCAUUAUAUGCUUGUUCCCUAUGUGUCUAAUACUUUAUAAUUUAUAUGUCAAUUUAUUUUGCAAUUUAUGUAUCCUAAUAUAAUUAUGUGUGUUUUUUAUUAUAAAUAGGCACUUAUUUAUACAAUAUAUAAUAACUUUACUUAAAUCCGCCUACUCCAUCUAGGCCCCCGCCUAGGCGUUAGGCCCUAGCCUGCCGCCCGACUAGCGCCUAGUGUAUUUUAGAAUCUUGAUAUGGAUUUUCCCUUGAGCAAGUCUAGGGUUAGAGUCUUAGUUCAAGUCGACAAGGGAGACUUAGUGGUGAUAAAGCUUCAGUGAAAGAGAAUUCUAAGUAUAAUAAGAAUAUGCCAAGGAGUUGCAAUGUUAUUAGGACUCUGCAACUCGACAAACUUGGGCAUUAAGGGAAUUUGUUCCUAUAAACACAAGGGAGUUUACAAUAUAGAAGAGAUCUUCAACACAACACACAAAUCAACCCUUGAGAAAAAUACUAACUGCUUUACGAACAAGUCAACACAAAUUCAGUUUGGUUAAACAGGUUUGGAGUUAGUAGCCAAUGGACUAUUACAGUGUGGUUAAACAAAAUUUUCUAGAGGCAACCGGCGAAGGUUACAGUUUGGUUAAAGAACAUUAGAGUCGUAAAAUUAGCUUGGUUUAGGAGUCUUGACAGUUUGGUUUAAUAGCAAGUUCUCCUCUUUCGACUGGUUAUCUAUCCUAAGCAUCUUCCAAAAAAGAGUCUUUGGUUCUUUCGUCGAAUGAGAUCACUUCUUUAACUUUCUUGGCAAAACAGAGUGUUCUAUGAUCGGAUAUUCCCAAGUGACAUCCAAUGUUAGGCAUAUCAACUGCCGAACAACUUUUAUCAUAAAGACACUCAUCUUAUCUUUGCCUCUAUAGUUUGAUUCCAAUUCGGACCUACAUUCUCACUAAUAUAGUUGAAGUUGUUGAACCUGAUGCAAAAAACCUAGAAUUUCGUAGCGAGUUACAUAACCUAGUCUUCAGGUUUUAAAAGCUAAGGCCGAGAUUAUUGUUUCCUCAGCCAAAAUCGCCUAAUUCAGAAAUCACCCAUCACAUCACACCAGCACACUCAGAAGUAUCCACUCGGGCGAGUUCUGUAGCGAAUUGGCAUGCCUGCUUCAGUUUUCACGAACACAAAAGGACGUAGUUAAUUACUCUUUGUACUUCGCCUACGCGCCACGUAGGCUGUGUAGUUUUUAGAAUCAACAGUUAUGUAAUUAGUUUGAAACUUAUUAACUUAACAUCUCUGUUUCAUGGUUUUCUUGUUUUACUUCUCAGUAGUGGUUUUCUCAUUUUUUGCAAUGCUUUCUUGUACUCUUAUUAGUUGCUUUAUAUAAUAUAUCUUUUAUUGUUUCAUGAAACUGCCUUUUGACGUAAAAGUAAGGGUUUCUCUUCUUAGUAGUGUAUAUUAGUGGAUCAUUGCAUGGAAGUAAGGGUGCAAUUUCGGUUGGGUCAACGCGAAUCCGCCUAUGUCCAACUCAACUUCAAACCAAAUAAACCCAACUAAAGCCUGAGUCUGCAUAACCUAAACCCGAAUUGAGAAUGAUAGGUUAACGUUCUCACUUGCCUAGUUGCACCCUACAUGAAAGCCAUUUUGACAUUUAUAAUACCAAAUCACAUAUUAAGUUGUUUGUAAAAAAUUCUACGUGCGUCUUAAAAUAAACGUAUUUCAAGGCACUCUUUGCAACUCGUAUGCUGAAGGGCUUCACCACCAACAUGUGCCUUUGGAGAUUGAGAUCCCUACUGAGUGUAGGGGUGGGUUCAAAAAAAUAAAAAACCAAAAGAAAAAAAAAAGACCGAACACCGAAAGGAAACCGUACCAAAUUAUCAAAAACCGAACCAAACCAAAAUUGGUUAGUUUGGUUUCAGUUUCAAUGAUUUAACAAUCGAACGAACCAAUACAUUUAAUUAUUUUAUAUAAUAUUCAAAUUAAUUAUUUUUUAUAUAUUUAAUUAUUCUCUAUGUCCUCACUUUCUCUCUCUACCUUUGAAGAGCUCUUUUUUUUUCUUUCUUUCAUUUGUUUGUUAUGUUGUUUUCUAUGUAGUAAAAUGUCCUCAUAUUUUUUUUGGUCCAACAUUAAGUCCUUAUAUUACCAACAUUAAAAUCCUCAUCAGUGGCCUUCUCUCUAAUAAAAUCCUCACGCUGUGAAAGCAAGGACAGAGCUAGUGUAGGCCUAGGGGGCAGAUGCCCCCACUCAUUUAAAAAAAAACUGUAUGGUUGCGUUCCAAUUCUCAAUAACCAGCCCUAACUAAACUAGUCUACCAUUUUGGAUCCCAAAUGCCCUACCAGAUGACAAUUUAAUUAACAAUUAAUUUAAUUGUGCCUCUCCGUUUUUCUAACCCUAGGUCGUUAAUCCACACAAAACUCAUCCCACCACGUAUGGCAAAACAAUUCCAGUCCUCAACUUCUCUAGAUUUUUCCUCCCCUUUCAUUCAACGAAAACUCAAUUGAAUUUGGAGUGUUAUAGACAGUUGGAGUUCAAGUAAUCAAUUAUCAAAAUUCAACAUAAGAAUUUUACUCCCUAAGGUAUUUUAUAUGACUUUACUUCAUUAAUUUGUUUUUGGCAUUUCAAUUUAGAAUUUAGCUUUCUAAUUUAGAGAUCAAUGGAUGAACGAUAACAUGAUUAUUUUUAGGGUAAAUUACAUAAAACUACCUCAACUAUUGGGUCAUUAACAGUUUUAUACCUCAUCUUUAAAAAGUUUCAAUGUCUUACCUUAUCUUCGAAUUUGUUGCAAUGUCAUACCUUCCAUCAGUUGUCUGUCAAUUUCUCUGUUGCAAUGUCAUACCUUAUUUUCAUCUUCCCGUCCCGUUCCUCCCCUCUCAAAAACCUUCCUUUCAAACCCAGAACCCCACCCCCACCUCCUGAGCAACCAUGAUCUGGAGAUCGCAACAAUGCCGUGGAGAUGGACACUCUGGCAAAGUCCUCUUCUUCUCCAGCCAUCGGAUUUCCGCGCUGGCAAUUGUUUAUGAAAUGUUUUCUCUUUUUGGGCUCUUCCAAUUAUGAAGUUCGAAGGCUAUGGAGGAGAGAAAGAGAAGUGAUGAGCGGGUUGACCAGGCAUGGAAGAGAGAGAGGUGCUGGAGUCGGGUCUGCAGUGGCAGUGGACAUGUGGUGACUGAAGGUAUUAAAGAUGUUGAGAGGGCUGGCGGAAAGGUUUAUAAUCAGCUUU